RNAcentral lists this ribosomal RNA (2041 nucleotides) under Escherichia coli. Its description in RNAcentral is "partial 23S ribosomal RNA". It matches the Rfam family "Bacterial large subunit ribosomal RNA", at positions 694 to 2717 of the family's 2925-position model. Lineage: Bacteria; Pseudomonadati; Pseudomonadota; Gammaproteobacteria; Enterobacterales; Enterobacteriaceae. The record is from RNAcentral.
GUUAAGUUGCAGGGUAUAGACCCGAAACCCGGUGAUCUAGCCAUGGGCAGGUUGAAGGUUGGGUAACACUAACUGGAGGACCGAACCGACUAAUGUUGAAAAAUUAGCGGAUGACUUGUGGCUGGGGGUGAAAGGCCAAUCAAACCGGGAGAUAGCUGGUUCUCCCCGAAAGCUAUUUAGGUAGCGCCUCGUGAAUUCAUCUCCGGGGGUAGAGCACUGUUUCGGCAAGGGGGUCAUCCCGACUUACCAACCCGAUGCAAACUGCGAAUACCGGAGAAUGUUAUCACGGGAGACACACGGCGGGUGCUAACGUCCGUCGUGAAGAGGGAAACAACCCAGACCGCCAGCUAAGGUCCCAAAGUCAUGGUUAAGUGGGAAACGAUGUGGGAAGGCCCAGACAGCCAGGAUGUUGGCUUAGAAGCAGCCAUCAUUUAAAGAAAGCGUAAUAGCUCACUGGUCGAGUCGGCCUGCGCGGAAGAUGUAACGGGGCUAAACCAUGCACCGAAGCUGCGGCAGCGACGCUGAUGCGUUGUUGGGUAGGGGAGCGUUCUGUAAGCCUGUGAAGGUGUGCUGUGAGGCAUGCUGGAGGUAUCAGAAGUGCGAAUGCUGACAUAAGUAACGAUAAAGCGGGUGAAAAGCCCGCUCGCCGGAAGACCAAGGGUUCCUGUCCAACGUUAAUCGGGGCAGGGUGAGUCGACCCCUAAGGCGAGGCCGAAAGGCGUAGUCGAUGGGAAACAGGUUAAUAUUCCUGUACUUGGUGUUACUGCGAAGGGGGGACGGAGAAGGCUAUGUUGGCCGGGCGACGGUUGUCCCGGUUUAAGCGUGUAGGCUGGUUUUCCAGGCAAAUCCGGAAAACUAAGGCUGAGGCGUGAUGACGAGGCACUACGGUGCUGAAGCAACAAAUGCCCUGCUUCCAGGAAAAGCCUCUAAGCAUCAGGUAACAUCAAAUCGUACCCCAAACCGACACAGGUGGUCAGGUAGAGAAUACCAAGGCGCUUGAGAGAACUCGGGUGAAGGAACUAGGCAAAAUGGUGCCGUAACUUCGGGAGAAGGCACGCUGAUAUGUAGGUGAAGUCCCUCGCGGAUGGAGCUGAAAUCAGUCGAAGAUACCAGCUGGCUGCAACUGUUUAUUAAAAACACAGCACUGUGCAAACACGAAAGUGGACGUAUACGGUGUGACGCCUGCCCGGUGCCGGAAGGUUAAUUGAUGGGGUCAGCGCAAGCGAAGCUCUUGAUCGAAGCCCCGGUAAACGGCGGCCGUAACUAUAACGGUCCUAAGGUAGCGAAAUUCCUUGUCGGGUAAGUUCCGACCUGCACGAAUGGCGUAAUGAUGGCCAGGCUGUCUCCACCCGAGACUCAGUGAAAUUGAACUCGCUGUGAAGAUGCAGUGUACCCGCGGCAAGACGGAAAGACCCCGUGAACCUUUACUAUAGCUUGACACUGAACAUUGAGCCUUGAUGUGUAGGAUAGGUGGGAGGCUUUGAAGUGUGGACGCCAGUCUGCAUGGAGCCGACCUUGAAAUACCACCCUUUAAUGUUUGAUGUUCUAACGUUGACCCGUAAUCCGGGUUGCGGACAGUGUCUGGUGGGUAGUUUGACUGGGGCGGUCUCCUCCUAAAGAGUAACGGAGGAGCACGAAGGUUGGCUAAUCCUGGUCGGACAUCAGGAGGUUAGUGCAAUGGCAUAAGCCAGCUUGACUGCGAGCGUGACGGCGCGAGCAGGUGCGAAAGCAGGUCAUAGUGAUCCGGUGGUUCUGAAUGGAAGGGCCAUCGCUCAACGGAUAAAAGGUACUCCGGGGAUAACAGGCUGAUACCGCCCAAGAGUUCAUAUCGACGGCGGUGUUUGGCACCUCGAUGUCGGCUCAUCACAUCCUGGGGCUGAAGUAGGUCCCAAGGGUAUGGCUGUUCGCCAUUUAAAGUGGUACGCGAGCUGGGUUUAGAACGUCGUGAGACAGUUCGGUCCCUAUCUGCCGUGGGCGCUGGAGAACUGAGGGGGGCUGCUCCUAGUACGAGAGGACCGGAGUGGACGCAUCACUGGUGUUC